Molecule: ribosomal RNA, 425 nt
Filed under: uncultured bacterium
Lineage: Bacteria
Description: partial 16S ribosomal RNA
Rfam family: Bacterial small subunit ribosomal RNA
Source: RNAcentral
GUGGGGAAUAUUGGACAAUGGGCGCAAGCCUGAUCCAGCCAUGCCGCGUGAGUGAUGAAGGCCUUAGGGUUGUAAAGCUCUUUCAGUGGGGACGAUAAUGACGGUACCCACAGAAGAAGCCCCGGCUAACUUCGUGCCAGCAGCCGCGGUAAUACGAAGGGGGCUAGCGUUGUUCGGAUUUACUGGGCGUAAAGCGCACGUAGGCGGAUCGUUAAGUCGUGGGUGAAAUCCUGGAGCUCAACUCCAGAACUGCCUUCGAUACUGGCGAUCUUGAGUCCGGAAGAGGUGAGUGGAACUCCUAGUGUAGAGGUGGAAUUCGUAGAUAUUAGGAAGAACACCAGUGGCGAAGGCGGCUCACUGGUCCGGUACUGACGCUGAGGUGCGAAAGCGUGGGGAGCAAACAGGAUUAGAAACCCUGGUAGUCC